Molecule: ribosomal RNA, 278 nt
Filed under: uncultured bacterium
Lineage: Bacteria
Description: partial 16S ribosomal RNA
Rfam family: Bacterial small subunit ribosomal RNA
Source: RNAcentral
UGCCAGCCGCCGCGGUAAUACGUAGGUGGCAAGCGUUGUCCGGAUUUAUUGGGCGUAAAGCGCGCGCAGGCGGUCCAUUAAGUUGGGUGUUAAAGGCAUCGGCUCAACCGGUGUUCGCACCCAAAACUGGUGAACUUGAGUGCAGAAGAGGAGAGUGGAAUUCCUGGUGUAGCGGUGGAAUGCGUAGAUAUCAGGAGGAACACCAGUGGCGAAGGCGGCUCUCUGGUCUGCAACUGACGCUGAGGCGCGAAAGCGUGGGGAGCAAACAGGAUUAGAUA